UAUUGAAGAUAUUAAGGUAGUAGUUUUUAUUUUAAAAUAUUAAUAAAACUAAUAGUUUAUCUAUACAA
This 68-nucleotide transfer RNA is filed under the name Scarelus pseudoumbrosus. RNAcentral describes it as "tRNA-Phe". The record is from RNAcentral. Lineage: Eukaryota; Metazoa; Arthropoda; Insecta; Coleoptera; Lycidae.